Molecule: ribosomal RNA, 848 nt
Filed under: uncultured Flavobacteriaceae bacterium
Lineage: Bacteria; Pseudomonadati; Bacteroidota; Flavobacteriia; Flavobacteriales; Flavobacteriaceae
Description: bacterial SSU rRNA
Rfam family: Bacterial small subunit ribosomal RNA
Source: RNAcentral
CUAGCGGCAGGCUUAACACAUGCAAGUCGAGGGGUAACAUAGAAAAGCUUGCUUUUCUGAUGACGACCGGCGCACGGGUGCGUAACGCGUAUACAAUCUGCCUUAUACUGGGGUAUAGCCUUUAGAAAUGAAGAUUAACCCCCCAUAGUCUCUUUAAAUGGCAUCAUUUUUAGAGUAAAGGUUACGGUAUAAGAUGAGUAUGCGUUCUAUUAGUUUGUUGGUGAGGUAACGGCUCACCAAGACUGCGAUAGAUAGGGGCCCUGAGAGGGGGAUCCCCCACACUGGUACUGAGACACGGACCAGACUCCUACGGGAGGCAGCAGUGAGGAAUAUUGGACAAUGGAGGCAACUCUGAUCCAGCCAUGCCGCGUGCAGGAAGACUGCCCUAUGGGUUGUAAACUGCUUUUAUACAGGAAGAAACCUUGGUACGUGUACCAAGCUGACGGUACUGUAAGAAUAAGGAUCGGCUAACUCCGUGCCAGCAGCCGCGGUAAUACGGAGGAUCCAAGCGUUAUCCGGAAUCAUUGGGUUUAAAGGGUCCGUAGGUGGAUAAUUAAGUCAGGGGUGAAAUCUUGCAGCUCAACUGUAAAAUUGCCUUUGAUACUGGUUAUCUUGAGUCAUUAUGAAGUAGUUAGAAUAUGUAGUGUAGCGGUGAAAUGCAUAGAUAUUACAUAGAAUACCAAUUGCGAAGGCAGAUUACUAAUAAUGUACUGACACUGAUGGACGAAAGCGUGGGUAGCGAACAGGAUUAGAUACCCUGGUAGUCCACGCCGUAAACGAUGGUUACUAGCUGUGUGGACUUCGGUCUGCGUGGCUAAGCGAAAGUGAUAAGUAACCCACCUGGGGAG